ACCCGCUGAAUUUAAGCAUAUAAGUAAGCGGAGGAAAAGAAACUCAAGAGGAUUCCCUUAGUAAUGGCGAAUGAACAGGGGUAAGCUCAGAGUGGAAAUCGGGGCCUUUCUGGCUUCGAAUUGUGAUCUCGAGAUGUACAACCAGCAUGGGGUGCAGGUAUAAGCCUUUUGGAAAAGAGCACCAGCGAGGGUGAGAGUCCCAUUCGUUACCUGUAGCCCCCAGUGCAUGGUGUGCAUUCUAAGAGUCACGCUCCUCGGGAUUGGAGCGCAAAGUGGGUGGUAAAUUUCAUCUAAAGCUAAAUACGGGCCUGAGACCGAUAGCACACAAGUACCCUGAGGGAAAGGUGAAAAGGACUUUGGAAAGAGAGUUAAACAGAGCCUGCCAUUGCUGAAAGGGAAGCGAACGAAAUCAGUGUGACUGGGCGAGAUCGGGCCGUGCCAUGGUGAGCUUCUGCGAACUGGACGUGCGGCUCAUUUCUUGCCCUGUCGGUCAACAGUGCUGCAAGCGCGAGGAAAAGAGUAUUGGACUGUCAGCUCGCCUACGGGGGAGUGAAUGCCUUUGCUACUACUUGCGCGUGUAGUGCCGCUUGGCUAUAUGGUUUCUUUCGACCCGUCUUGAAACACGGACCAAGGAGUCUAACAUAUGUGCGAGUUUGCAGGUGUUUAAACCUGUUAGCGCAAUGAAAGUGACUGCUAGAAAUUGUGCACUGGCAACCGACCAAUCGCUUGAGAAACGUUUGAGUAUGAGCAUGUCUGUUAGGACCCGAAAGAUGGUGAACUAUGCCCGUGAAGGGCAAACUCAGGGGAAACUCUGAUGGAGGCCCGUAGCGAUACUGACGUGCAAAUCGUUCGUCAUACAUGGGUAUGGGGCGAAAGACUAAUCGAACCAUCUAGUAGCUGGUUCCCUCCG
Molecule: ribosomal RNA, 910 nt
Filed under: Protoperidinium parthenopes
Lineage: Eukaryota; Dinophyceae; Peridiniales; Protoperidiniaceae
Description: LSU rRNA
Rfam family: Eukaryotic large subunit ribosomal RNA
Source: RNAcentral